AGGCUCAGGUAUGUCUUUAUUAGCAGCUAUGAGAAUGAAUUGGAGUGGCAUGAAGCAUGAGAUAAGCAGACCACUUACAAGACGGUUGCAAUUGUAAAGCAUAGGAUGACAGGACUGGAUUAAGGUUCUUGAGGAUACAAUCAACCAAGGUACACUUUAAAUUAAAGCAGAUAUGUGGAUGAAACAGGAAAAAUACAAGGAUAUUCAAUAUCAACAUUUCCAUUAAGAAUUGUACCGGGGCAUCUGGCCAACAGAAUUCAGAGCCCCAGCCUGUUCAUAAAAAAAAUCAGAUGAAUUUUGUCUGCGAAACAUUCUGCAAAAAUAUCUGACCAGUAAAUAAUCCUCUAAAUAGCCACAGCAAGGAAAGUCUGAGAAAGUGUCACAGCCAAGAGGACCCUAUAAAGACAUGAUGACUAAAUGUAACAUGGUGUCUUCCAUGGGAUCCUGAGACAGAAAAAGGACAUUAGUCCUAGCUACUCUGGAGGCUGAGGCAGGAGGAUCACUUGAGCCCAGGACUUUGAGGCCACUGUAAGCUAUGAUCAUGCCACUGCACUCCAGCUCAGGAAACAAACAGUAUUUGUUCAACAAACAAAAGAAAAUAAAAGAAUGGUAGACAAG
RNAcentral lists this non-coding RNA (618 nucleotides) under Pongo abelii (Sumatran orangutan). Lineage: Eukaryota; Metazoa; Chordata; Mammalia; Primates; Hominidae. The record is from RNAcentral.